RNAcentral lists this ribosomal RNA (253 nucleotides) under uncultured bacterium. RNAcentral's name for it is "partial 16S ribosomal RNA". It matches the Rfam family "Bacterial small subunit ribosomal RNA", at positions 524 to 776 of the family's 1533-position model. The record is from RNAcentral.
UACGUAGGUGACCAGCGUUGUCCGGAUUUACUGGGCGUAAAGAGCGCGCAGGCGGUCGUUCAAGUCGAGUGUGAAAGCCCCCGGCUCAACUGGGGAGGGUCACUCGAUACUGAUCGACUUGAAGGCAGGAGAGGGAAGCGGAAUUCCCGGUGUAGUGGUGAAAUGCGUAGAUAUCAUGAGGAAUACCAGAGGCGAAGGCGGCUACCUGGACAAUUGCUGACGCUCAGGCACGAAAGCGUGGGGAGCAAAAGGG